This 254-nucleotide ribosomal RNA is filed under the name uncultured bacterium. RNAcentral's name for it is "partial 16S ribosomal RNA". It matches the Rfam family "Bacterial small subunit ribosomal RNA", at positions 524 to 776 of the family's 1533-position model. The record is from RNAcentral.
UACGUAGGGGGCGAGCGUUGUCCGGAUUUAUUGGGCGUAAAAGGCUUGUAGGUGGCCCCGCCAAGUCGGAUGUGAAAUCUCCCGGCUCAACUGGGAGGGGUCAUUCGAUACUGGCGGGCUCGAGGCCGGUAGGGGGAAGUGGAAUUCCCGGUGUAGUGGUGGAAUGCGUAGAUAUCGGGAGGAACACCAGUGGCGAAGGCGGCUUCCUGGACCGGUUCUGACACUGAUGAGCGAAAGCGUGGGGAGCGAUCCGG